This 202-nucleotide long non-coding RNA is filed under the name Panax ginseng (ginseng). RNAcentral's name for it is "long non-coding RNA (PGIN_LNC016949)". The record is from RNAcentral. Lineage: Eukaryota; Viridiplantae; Streptophyta; Magnoliopsida; Apiales; Araliaceae.
AUAAUCAUUCAUUAUCUUUACAAUUAACCAUCUAAAGCUACCACAGUUCUUCAAUCAAAGUAUAUAUUUACAUAUAAAGAGAGUAAACUUCAUAAUUUCGUCCCUUGUCUUCCGUAAACGUAGCACGGAAAUUUGAUACCCAGUAUUGUAAGGCAGGUCGUAGAAGUAGUCUUCCUGUACAUAUUUAAAAAUAAUAGCAAGU